AAAAAAAAAAAAUAAAUAAAAAAAAAAAAAUCAAAUUUAAACAGGAAACAAUUCAAAUACCAAGAGUCUAAUGCAAAUUACCAAAACUUGAAUUUUCCCCUGGACUUCACCUUUAGUCAAAUACUCAAAUUGAUAGCAUACCAACUUCUAGCAUUCAUUUGAUUAUGUAAAUAAGUGUCUUUAUAAAGUUUCCCAAAAAUAAAAAUAAAGAAUGAGUGCUUGAUCUUAUUCCUAAUUUAAAUCAGAUAAGUAAAAAAGGCAGCCCCGGAAUUUCCCAAUUUCUUCUUAAAUAUAUUGUUUCCAAAGACGGAAAACCCCUUUCGCAACAAGAAAUUAUAUCAAAUCAAAUCUUAAUUUAACGCACGCCCAAUAAAAUUCAGCAAGACCACAUAUCUCAAAAUGCAAUCUUUAUCUCAGAAUCAAUCAAUUCAAGUUACAAAUAUGCAAUCAUGUAAACCAGCAUACUAAUUCAAUAAAUAAAAAAGGGGAUUAUUAAAAAUCAGUACUUACAGAAUACAGAGAUUUAUUCAGCUGCCUUUAAUCUUCUUGUGAUUAUUCCAUUACAUAAUUUAACCAUACCUUAAAAAUUCUACACUCGUGAAAAAUGUGAGUGCGUAUGGUGGAGUAGGUUGUGGUGGGUAUAAGUUUUACUUUUACAUAAAAACUGACAAGAUUCAAGGGUUUCAUCAAAAGAGAUAAAGACAAAAUUGUAAUCUUUAAGCUUUGGAUUCCACAGUCUCAUCUCUUUCAAAUCUAGCCGUCAAUAUUUUACUGUUCUUAGAACAUAUAAUAGAGCAGUACAAUGGUUUGACGAAAAGGUCAACGCUCCCAAUGCAAUAAUCGCAUUUGGAGU
This 853-nucleotide long non-coding RNA is filed under the name Olea europaea (common olive). Its description in RNAcentral is "long non-coding RNA (OEUR_LNC013421)". Lineage: Eukaryota; Viridiplantae; Streptophyta; Magnoliopsida; Lamiales; Oleaceae. The record is from RNAcentral.